AGCGCAGGCGGGAAGACAAGUUGGAAGUGAAAUCUAUGGGCUCAACCCAUAAACUGCUUUCAAAACUGUUUUUCUUGAGUAGUGCAGAGGUAGGCGGAAUUCCCGGUGUAGCGGUGGAAUGCGUAGAUAUCGGGAAGAACACCAAUGGCGAAGGCAGGUCUCUGGGCCGUUACUGACGCUGAGGAGCGAAAGCGUGGGGAGCGAACA
RNAcentral lists this ribosomal RNA (207 nucleotides) under uncultured bacterium. RNAcentral's name for it is "partial 16S ribosomal RNA". It matches the Rfam family "Bacterial small subunit ribosomal RNA", at positions 568 to 774 of the family's 1533-position model. The record is from RNAcentral.